RNAcentral lists this ribosomal RNA (497 nucleotides) under uncultured bacterium. RNAcentral describes it as "partial 16S ribosomal RNA". It matches the Rfam family "Bacterial small subunit ribosomal RNA", at positions 28 to 507 of the family's 1533-position model. The record is from RNAcentral.
GAUGAACGCUGGCGGCGUGCCUAAUACAUGCAAGUCGAGCGAACGGACGAGAAGCUUGCUUCUCUGAUGUUAGCGGCGGACGGGUGAGUAACACGUGGAUAACCUACCUAUAAGACUGGGAUAACUUCGGGAAACCGUAGCUAAUACCGGAUAAUAUUUUGAGCCGCAUGGUUCAAAAGUGAAAGACGGUCUUGCUGUCUCUUAUAGAUGGAUCCGCGCUGCAUUAGCUAGUUGGUAAGGUAACGGCUUACCAAGGCAACGAUGCAUGGCCGACCUGAGAGGGUGAUCGGCCACACUGGAACUGAGACACGGUCCAGACUCCUACGGGAGGCAGCAGUAGGGAAUCUUCCGCAAUGGGCGAAAGCCUGACGGAGCAACGCCGCGUGAGUGAUGAAGGUCUUCGGAUCGUAAAACUCUGUUAUUAGGGAAGAACAUAUGUGUAAGUAACUGUGCACAUCUUGACGGUACCUAAUCAGAAAGCCACGGCUAACUACGUG